This 229-nucleotide long non-coding RNA is filed under the name Lathyrus oleraceus (garden pea). RNAcentral's name for it is "Pisum sativum (pea) long non-coding RNA (PSAT_LNC026179)". The record is from RNAcentral. Lineage: Eukaryota; Viridiplantae; Streptophyta; Magnoliopsida; Fabales; Fabaceae.
UUCUCGUUCCAGACGAGAUACGUAGGCAUAGGACGCGAUGUCCUAGCGAGCCCUCUUCCUCUUUCCCCCACCUGUGUUGUCUUCGGUGUGUGUGUAUGAUGUUUGUUUAGCAACCUUUUUCUAUCGUUAGAGCGUGGAUCCCGUCGAGUACGACGGACGUGAGGGGUGCUAAUACCUUCCCCUUGCGUAACCGACUCCCUUACCCUUUCUCUUUGGUCGCGAGACCAUG